CCUACGGAUGGCAGCAGUGGGGGAUAUUGCACAAUGGGGGAAACCCUGAUGCAGCAACGCCGCGUGAGUGAAGAAGUAUUUCGGUAUGUAAAGCUCUAUCAGCCGGGAAGAGAAUGACGGUACCUGACUAAGAAGCCCCGGCUAACUACGUGCCAGCAGCCGCGGUAAUACGUAGGGGGCGAGCGUUAUACGGAUUUACUGGGUGUAAAGGGAGCGUAGACGGCUGGUCAAGGCUGAAGUGAAAGCCCGGGGCUUAACCCCGGAACGGCUUUGGAAACUGAGCAGCUAGAGUGCAGGAGAGGCAGGCGGAAUUCCUAGUGUAGCGGUGAAAUGCGUAGAUAUUAGGAGGAACACCAGUGGCGAAGGCGGCUUGCUGGACAGUAACUGACGUUGAGGCUCGAAAGCGUGGGGAGCAAACAGGAUUAGAUACCCGAGUAGUC
This 440-nucleotide ribosomal RNA is filed under the name uncultured bacterium. RNAcentral's name for it is "partial 16S ribosomal RNA". It matches the Rfam family "Bacterial small subunit ribosomal RNA", at positions 338 to 795 of the family's 1533-position model. The record is from RNAcentral.